Molecule: long non-coding RNA, 1124 nt
Filed under: Salvator merianae (Argentine black and white tegu)
Lineage: Eukaryota; Metazoa; Chordata; Lepidosauria; Squamata; Teiidae
Description: lncRNA (ENSSMRG00000002011.1)
Source: RNAcentral
GAGGACUGCGCACCGAUUACGCCCCGUGAACUACUCACCUGUUGGGUAGCAGCCUGUUCCCCCAGGCAGGCAGCGGCAAAUCCAGGGCAAACAGACAGAAGGCGAGGAGGUGGACCUUCAUCGCGCGCCUUGGUUCGCCCUUCCCGCGAGGGAGGGAGCCGGGAACGAAUGUGUGUAUGGGGGGGGGGUCUUCUUGGCAGCUAGGGAGGGGGCCACGCCGUCACUGCCCCCGCCGGCCGCUCUCCUGGACGGCAAAGGGCUCCGUCAUCAUCCUUGCUCUCUCCUCGCACCCGGGCAGCGCGCUUUGUGCGUCCUGGCGCGCGCGCGCGCCUCUCUCUCGCUUCUUUCCCAACAGGAAGGCAAGGAAACGCGGGGGGCGGCGGGGGCGACUCCCGCAUCUCCCCCCGCCCCGUCCAGUCCAGUUCAAGAGGGGGCAGAGGUCAAAGCUCCGGAGAGGACCCUCUUCGCCUGGCUCAGGAGAUGCUCAGGUUGCGCGCCGCAGCUCGGAUGCCGGAGGGGCCCGGGACAGGGCAGGGCAGGGCAGGAGGGCAAGGCAGCCGUCCAGCCGUCCGCCCGUCCUUCCUCUUCGCUGCCCCUGCGAAGGCAGCCGAGCCGCCGCCGCCGUUCCUCAGCUCCAGCCCGCCCGGCACUCGGGAAGCGGCGAGGAGAAGCAGCGGGCGCCCACCUCACCUUGCGCAACUCCCCCAGGGCGAGGCGAGGCGCAGGCUCUGCCCGUCCGGGGUGGGGUGGGGGGCUCCUGGGCGACCCCCGCCGCACAGCCCCCGCUCGACUCUUCCUCCUGCCUCCUUCCAAGGAGCUUCUGGCGUCCCGGCAAGGAAGGACAAAAGUUCUCUCUCUCCCCUACCCCGUCCCUCCUCCCCCGCCUUUCUUCCUCUCAGGUUGAGACUGAGCUGGACGGGGGGCGGGGGGGUGGGGGGGGAGCCAGCUGGGAAAAGACCCCGGAAUGAUUGGAUCCAGGUGAUCGCAACUUUUACGACUUUUGUUGCUGCCGCCGCUGCUGCUGCGAGGAUUCACAUACCAAGGUGAAGGGAGGGGGCGCCUCUGUCCUGCCCUCCCCCACGGGCCGCUCCGAAGAGAAAGCUGAACAAAAGCAGCCAGCCGGC